GAUACCGGACGGGCGAUCGCUGGCGUUGCCAGAGGAAAGUCCGAGCUGCAUAGAGCGAGGGUGCCCGGCGAAAGCCGGGGAGACGCGUUGUCGAUGCGCGUCGACAGUCCAGAUCGGCGUGGUUCGCCACGAGAGCAACAGAAACCAUUCCGGCGCCCCCGUGCGCCGGCUGAAAAGGGCAAUCCUCCCCGCAGCAAUCUCCGAUCGAACCGUUUGCAGGUUGCUCGCCAAGGUUCGAGGUUGAGAGCAGGCGCUUUGCGCCCAGCCCGCUCGCGGGCUGAGAGAGAUGAUCGUCAGAAACAGAACUCGGCUUACGGUCCGGUAUCUUCA
This 330-nucleotide RNase P RNA is filed under the name Chloroflexota bacterium. RNAcentral describes it as "Chloroflexi bacterium RNase P RNA component class A". It matches the Rfam family "Bacterial RNase P class A". From Rfam's summary of the family: Ribonuclease P (RNase P) is a ubiquitous endoribonuclease, found in archaea, bacteria and eukarya as well as chloroplasts and mitochondria. Its best characterised activity is the generation of mature 5'-ends of tRNAs by cleaving the 5'-leader elements of precursor-tRNAs. Lineage: Bacteria; Bacillati; Chloroflexota. The record is from RNAcentral.